CAGGCCUAACACAUGCAAGUCGAACGAGAAAGUGGAGCAAUCCAUGAGUACAGUGGCGACCGGGUGAGUAACACGUGACCAAUCUACCCUCGAGUGGGGAACAACAGCGGGAAACCGCUGCUAAUACCGCAUAACAUCCUCGGAUCGGAAGAACUGGGGAUCAAAGGAGCAAUUCGCUUGAGGAGGAGGUCGCGGCUGAUUAGCUAGUUGGCGGGGUAAUGGCCCACCAAGGCGAAGAUCGGUAUCCGGCCUGAGAGGGCGCACGGACACACUGGAACUGAAACACGGUCCAGACUCCUACGGGAGGCAGCAGUGGGGAAUUUUGCGCAAUGGGGGAAACCCUGACGCAGCAACGCCGCGUGGAGGAUGAAGUCCCUUGGGGCGUAAACUCCUUUCGACCAAGACGAUAAUGACGGUACUGGUGGAAGAAGCACCGGCUAACUCUGUGCCAGCAGCCGCGGUAAUACA
RNAcentral lists this ribosomal RNA (468 nucleotides) under uncultured Acidobacteriota bacterium. RNAcentral's name for it is "bacterial SSU rRNA". It matches the Rfam family "Bacterial small subunit ribosomal RNA", at positions 43 to 527 of the family's 1533-position model. Lineage: Bacteria; Pseudomonadati; Acidobacteriota. The record is from RNAcentral.